This is an RNA transcript of Hippocampus comes (tiger tail seahorse), 1016 nucleotides long. RefSeq lists it as uncharacterized. Lineage: Eukaryota; Metazoa; Chordata; Actinopteri; Syngnathiformes; Syngnathidae. The record is from RefSeq and is a predicted model, not a curated record. The transcript is spliced from 10 exons.
CGUUCUGUCUCACCUUCGACAGCCUCCGCUCGUCCUCGUCUGCUCCUGCUCCGCACGCCUGUCCACACGGAAAACUCCAAAAAGGACGAAAGCGGCGUUUCGCCGAAUGGGUACAAAUCUUCAAAUGGAAUCUAGCACGGGCCACUCGCUGCUUUGCAUCUGCUAUAGAAUGGCCAAAUUGACUGCAACACGGCUCACAUCGACAGAAUGACCCAUAAAAUGGCUGCCAUCCUGGCUUCACGAGGCUUUGGCAGAUAGUGCUGAAGGACCUGAUGCAGGUUGUGAAGUCGAGCCGUCCCUCCUCAACGUUUGGACCUGUUGCAAAAUUCCAUGCCAAGUCCUUGAACUGUUGCUUCGCAGCUUGCAGUAAGAGUGCUGCCAGAGAUCCUCAAACUGCUGGGCCAAGAGACAAAUGCGACAAGCUCGAAGCAGUGUUGGCAGGUUUGACCACCUUGGAUGAGUUGCUGGACCAGUAGCAGCUUGGCCUAUUGGUGCUGAUCACGCUAGACCAGCUGUUGCAGCAAAAGGUUCCAGUCUCCAGUUGCUGCGGCAGCGUAGAGUAAAACGGAACUGCGUUUCAGAGUUGAGGAAAACGUUUUUGGGUCCUCUGUGCCGCAAGAGGGGAGGAACCUGCUCACUGCCAGAGUCCACAGUCGAGCAGAAAACACUUUUUGCCCUUCUUCUUACUCUGUUAUUUGCAAGUGUCCCCUUCUCGAAGCGGCAAUAAACGCGAUCCGCUUCCUGCUGAUAAAAGACCACACCGCUUGUCUCUCUCGCUGGCAAGUUUCUUGCCAAAAACAUCUUUGUCUGUACAACAAAUUGACUUGUGUGGAACUCACGGAUGUCUUUCCUCAGGUCAACACACCUGUCCCGUGUUCCUCUCACGAGCCGACCACUUCGCUGCCCAGCAACAGACUGCCAUCCAACUUACAACUUUUUCUUCUGCUUUGUCUACUCUGCAAAAGAAAUAAAGCUUGAUUACAAAGAACACAAACUAAAAGCUAGAUUACAAAGAA